This 253-nucleotide ribosomal RNA is filed under the name uncultured bacterium. Its description in RNAcentral is "partial 16S ribosomal RNA". It matches the Rfam family "Bacterial small subunit ribosomal RNA", at positions 524 to 776 of the family's 1533-position model. The record is from RNAcentral.
UACGUAGGGACCAAGCGUUGUUCGGAUUUACUGGGCGUAAAGGGCGCGUAGGCGGCAAUUCAAGUCAUCUGUGAAAUCUCCGGGCUUAACUCGGAACAGUCAGGUGAAACUGCUUUGCUAGAGUGCGGAAGGGGCAAUCGGAAUUCUCGGUGUAGCGGUGAAAUGCGUAGAUAUCGAGAGGAACACCUGAGGUGAAGACGGGUUGCUGGGCCGACACUGACGCUGAAGCGCGAAAGCCAGGGGAGCAAACGGG